RNAcentral lists this long non-coding RNA (307 nucleotides) under Prunus persica (peach). Its description in RNAcentral is "long non-coding RNA (PPER_LNC005931)". The record is from RNAcentral. Lineage: Eukaryota; Viridiplantae; Streptophyta; Magnoliopsida; Rosales; Rosaceae.
AUUUUGAUCAUAAGAUUGUAAUGUCUAACUUCUAUCAGCCAAGUUUUAUGAACGAGCUUAACCAAAACUAGAGCUAUCUUACAAAAGAUACAUGUUGCUCACGAGCUUUACAAGUUACAACCCGAAUAUACCAAAGUUCAAGCUCAACUCAUUUUUCUUGAGCCUAAUAAUUUGUUCGAGCUCAUCUUGAUGAGUCAUGUGACAUAUGUAUUUUGUGCAGAAUCAAAAACUUGGACGAGUUAGCUUUGAUUAAUAAAAUGAUAUCCUAUUUACUCACCUAGUUACAGAAUUUAGGUUUAACUAAUUG